This 417-nucleotide ribosomal RNA is filed under the name Triticum aestivum (bread wheat). RNAcentral's name for it is "partial small subunit ribosomal RNA". The record is from RNAcentral. Lineage: Eukaryota; Viridiplantae; Streptophyta; Magnoliopsida; Poales; Poaceae.
AUGGCGCCGCCGCCAUCGUCCAAGCUCGCCCUCCUGCUCCUUGCCAUGGCACUGAUGGUCUACACCGUUUGCGGUUGCGGAUACAAGUGCCCGUCCCCGUCUCCGCCGCCGCCGCCGCCACCACCACCGCCGUCGCCACCGCAACCGGCGUACCCCCCGUCGCCACCACCACCAUCAACCAGCUCUGGCUCGUGCCCGAAUCUGCAAGUGUGCGUCAAUGUGCUGAACCUGCCAAUUCUCAGUCUCGGCUUGUUUGCGAAUGAGUGCUGCCCACUGCUCUACGGGUUGGCCGACCUGCAAGCUGCCGCGUGCCUCUGCGACGUCCUUGACGGCAUCCUCGGCCUCCACCUCGACGUCGUGCUCCUUCUCAACCAGUGCAACAUUCGCUGCAAAUCCACCUACACCUGCCCGCGCUGA